AGGGAAGUCGGCAAACCCGAUCUGUAACUUCGGGAUAAGGAUUGGCUCUGAGGAUCGUGGCGCGCCGGGCUUGGUCGGGAAGUGGAGCGGUGCCAACGUGCCGGGCCUGGGCGAGGUGAAGGGCGCUCGUCGUCUGGACCCUAGCUCGGUCCCGUGCCUUGGCCACCCACGGACCUUCCUUGCUGCGAGCCUCCCGGCUGUCUAGUUUUCGGCCCAGCCGGAGUACGGGCCGGAAGGCUCUUCGGCCGCCAUAGAACGAUCAACUUAGAACUGGCACGGACCAGGGGAAUCCGACUGUC
Molecule: ribosomal RNA, 299 nt
Filed under: Catorhintha guttula
Lineage: Eukaryota; Metazoa; Arthropoda; Insecta; Hemiptera; Coreidae
Description: partial large subunit ribosomal RNA
Rfam family: Eukaryotic large subunit ribosomal RNA
Source: RNAcentral